RNAcentral lists this ribosomal RNA (656 nucleotides) under uncultured Paracoccaceae bacterium. RNAcentral's name for it is "bacterial SSU rRNA". It matches the Rfam family "Bacterial small subunit ribosomal RNA", at positions 57 to 761 of the family's 1533-position model. Lineage: Bacteria; Pseudomonadati; Pseudomonadota; Alphaproteobacteria; Rhodobacterales; Paracoccaceae. The record is from RNAcentral.
GCAAGUCGAGCGCACCUUCGGGUGAGCGGCGGACGGGUUAGUAACGCGUGGGAACAUACCCUUUUCUGCGGAAUAGCCUUUGGAAACGAAGAGUAAUACCGCAUACGCCCUUCGGGGGAAAGAUUUAUCGGUGAAGGAUUGGCCCGCGUUAGAUUAGAUAGUUGGUGGGGUAACGGCCUACCAAGUCUACGAUCUAUAGCUGGUUUGAGAGGAUGAUCAGCAACACUGGGACUGAGACACGGCCCAGACUCCUACGGGAGGCAGCAGUGGGGAAUCUUAGACAAUGGGCGAAAGCCUGAUCUAGCGAUGCCGCGUGAGUGACGAAGGCCUUAGGGUCGUAAAGCUCUUUCGCCAGGGAUGAUAAUGACAGUACCUGGUAAAGAAACCCCGGCUAACUCCGUGCCAGCAGCCGCGGUAAUACGGAGGGGGUUAGCGUUGUUCGGAAUUACUGGGCGUAAAGCGUACGUAGGCGGAUUAGUCAGUCAGAGGUGAAAUCCCAGGGCUCAACCCUGGAACUGCCUUUGAUACUGCUAGUCUUGAGUUCGAGAGAGGUGAGUGGAAUUCCGAGUGUAGAGGUGAAAUUCGUAGAUAUUCGGAGGAACACCAGUGGCGAAGGCGGCUCACUGGCUCGAUACUGACGCUGAGGUACGAAAGUG